RNAcentral lists this ribosomal RNA (471 nucleotides) under uncultured Sphingobacteriales bacterium. Its description in RNAcentral is "bacterial SSU rRNA". It matches the Rfam family "Bacterial small subunit ribosomal RNA", at positions 906 to 1382 of the family's 1533-position model. The record is from RNAcentral. Lineage: Bacteria; Pseudomonadati; Bacteroidota; Sphingobacteriia; Sphingobacteriales.
GGAAUUGACGGGGCCGCACAAGCGUGGAGCAUGUGGUUUAAUUCGAUGAUACGCGAGGAACCUUACCUGGGCUCAAAUGUAUGUUGACGUAUUCUGAAAGGGAUACUUCUUCGGACAAUAUACAAGGUGCUGCAUGGUUGUCGUCAGCUCGUGCCGUGAGGUGUCGGGUUAAGUCCCAUAACGAGCGCAACCCCUAUCAUUAGUUGCCAUCAGGUCAAGCUGGGGACUCUAAUGAAACUGCCUACGCAAGUAGUGAGGAAGGUGGGGAUGACGUCAAAUCAGCACGGCCCUUACGUCCAGGGCUACACACGUGCUACAAUGGCCGGUACAAAGGGCAGCUACCUGGUGACAGGAUGCUAAUCUCAAAAGCCGGUCUCAGUUCGGAUCGGAGUCUGCAACCCGACUCCGUGAAGCUGGAAUCGCUAGUAAUCGCGCAUCAGCCAUGGCGCGGUGAAUACGUUCCCGGGCCUU